Molecule: ribosomal RNA, 401 nt
Filed under: uncultured fungus
Lineage: Eukaryota; Fungi
Description: SSU rRNA
Rfam family: Eukaryotic small subunit ribosomal RNA
Source: RNAcentral
GCAAGUCUGGUGCCAGCAGCCGCGGUAAUUCCAGCUCCAAUAGCGUAUAUUAAAGUUGUUGUGGUCAAAAAGCUCGUAGUCGAACCUUGGGCCUGGCUGGCCGGUCCCCCUCACCGGGUGCACUGAUCCAGCCGGGCCUUUCCCUCUGUGGAACCCCAUGGCCUUCACUGGCUGUGCGGGGGAAACAGGACUUUUACUGUGAAAAAAUUAGAGUGCUCCAGGCAGGCCUAUGCUCGAAUACAUUAGCAUGGAAUAAUAGAAUAGGACGUGUGGUUCUAUUUUGUUGGUCUCUAGGACCGCCGUAAUGAUUAAUAGGGACAGUCGGGGGCAUCAGUAUUCAAUUGUCAGAGGUGAAAUUCUUGGAUCUAUUGAAGACUAACUACUGCGAAAGCAUUUGCCAA